CUGUGUGUCCCUGCUGCGAUGGAUGCCAGAUAGAGCCUGCUUGCCUAGGAUGGGGACAGAUGCCAUUGGAAACAGCCCUCAGUGAGGCCAGAAAUCACUAGAAAUCUCAUUUAAACUUUCCCUCCUCGUUCUCAAGCAAAUUUACAACAGCGGCCAGUACUUUUGCAAGAUCGCUGGAGAGAAUUCAUCAUCAGAAUAGAGAUUGCAAGACCAUCACGAUGACUUCACGUCAGUGCCAGCAUAUGCAGCCGUGGAAUACAGUGAGCGCUCUCUGCGGCUGACAGCAAUAGCGGUGAUCUAAUUUACCCGGCGACUGGAAGAAACUCUUUGUACAGGCUCUGGGUCCCUUUGGAUUAGUGACUUCAAGGUCAACUGGAGGAGAAAGGAAGCAGGGCUGAGGGUCACCCUCUCCUGUCUCAUUUGCAUGCUCUUGAAUAUAUGAUUUUAAGAAACAUGCGUUUUUGAUCUGCAAUGUAAAAAUUCCUCAAUGAUUUUUUGUACAGAUGUGCAGAAUACAGGAAUGAAAUAAAAUAUUGAGAAUUUGUGGCCUCAC
Molecule: long non-coding RNA, 553 nt
Filed under: Homo sapiens (human)
Lineage: Eukaryota; Metazoa; Chordata; Mammalia; Primates; Hominidae
Description: HSALNT0083598
Source: RNAcentral